RNAcentral lists this small RNA (652 nucleotides) under Pleosporales sp. 1 NVL-2017. RNAcentral describes it as "eukaryotic LSU rRNA". It matches the Rfam family "Eukaryotic large subunit ribosomal RNA", at positions 38 to 666 of the family's 3401-position model. The record is from RNAcentral. Lineage: Eukaryota; Fungi; Ascomycota; Dothideomycetes; Pleosporales.
GCAUAUCAAUAAGCGGAGGAAAAGAAACCAACUGGGAUUGCCCUAGUAACGGCGAGUGAAGCGGCAACAGCUCAAAUUUGAAAUCUGGCUCUCUGUUUUUGGGGGGGUCCGAGUUGUACUUUGCAGAGGGUGCUUUGGCGUUGGUGGCGGUCUAAGUUCCAUGGAACUGGUCAUCGCAGAGGGUGAGAGUCCCGUAUGUGGUCGCCCGCCUUCGCUGUGUAAAGCCCCUUCGACGAGUCGCGUUGUUUGGGAAUGCAGCGCUAAAUGGGAGGUAAAUUUCUUCUAAAGCUAAAUACCGGCCAGAGACCGAUAGCGCACAAGUAGAGUGAUCGAAAGAUGAAAAGCACUUUGGAAAGAGAGUCAAAUAGCACGUGAAAUUGUUGAAAGGGAAGCGCUUGCAGCCAGACGUGCCUGCAGAAGCUCAGCCGGAGGGGCUUUGGCCCCCCCGGUGCACUCUUCUGCGGGCAGGCCAGCAUCAGUUUGGGCGGCUGGAGAAUGGCCUCUGUCACGUAUCUCCUAUGCCUCGCAAGAGGGGGAUGGCCUUAUAGGGGAGGCGGAGUGCAGCCAGCCUGGACUGAGGCGUCCCGCGCCGCUGUUUGGCAGCUAGGAUGCUGGCAUAAUGGCUGCAAGCGGCCCGUCUUGAAACACGGAC